UACGUAGGGUGCAAGCGUUAUCCGGAAUCACUGGGCGUAAAGCGUGCGUAGGUGGCGCGUUAAGUGAGAUGUUAAAUCGUGUGGCUCAACCAUAUCGAUGCAUCUCAUACUGGCGUGCUAGAGGACGGAAGAGGCGAGUGGAAUUCCUGGUGUAGCGGUGAAAUGCGCAGAUAUCAGGAGGAACACCGGUGGCGAAGGCGGUUCUCUGGGCAUGACCUGACGUGAGGAGCGAAAGUGUGGG
RNAcentral lists this ribosomal RNA (241 nucleotides) under uncultured bacterium. RNAcentral's name for it is "partial 16S ribosomal RNA". It matches the Rfam family "Bacterial small subunit ribosomal RNA", at positions 524 to 765 of the family's 1533-position model. The record is from RNAcentral.